Non-coding RNA from Salmo salar (Atlantic salmon), 82 nucleotides. Lineage: Eukaryota; Metazoa; Chordata; Actinopteri; Salmoniformes; Salmonidae. The record is from Rfam.
AGUAGUGUGGCCGAGUGGUCUAAGGCGCUGGAUUAAGGCUCCAGUCUCUUCGGGGACAUGGGGUCAAAUCCCACCACUGCUA